GCGGUAGCUCAAGAGGUAGAGCAGGUCAUCUGGCAACCGGAAGGUCGCUGGUUCGAUCCCCGGCUCCUAGCCA
This is a non-coding RNA of Merluccius polli (Benguela hake), 73 nucleotides long. Lineage: Eukaryota; Metazoa; Chordata; Actinopteri; Gadiformes; Merlucciidae. The record is from the annotation of a GenBank genome assembly.